Molecule: ribosomal RNA, 468 nt
Filed under: uncultured bacterium
Lineage: Bacteria
Description: partial 16S ribosomal RNA
Rfam family: Bacterial small subunit ribosomal RNA
Source: RNAcentral
GACGAACGCUGGCGGCGUGCUUAACACAUGCAAGUCGAACGGAAAGGCCCUGCUUUUGUGGGGUGCUCGAGUGGCGAGCGGGUGAGUAACACGUGAGUAACCUGCCCUUGACUUUGGGAUAACUUCAGGAAACUGGGGCUAAUACCGGAUAGGAGCUCCUGCUGCAUGGUGGGGGUUGGAAAGUUUCGGCGGUUGGGGAUGGACUCGCGGCUUAUCAGCUUGUUGGUGGGGUAGUGGCUUACCAAGGCUUUGACGGGUAGCCGGCCUGAGAGGGUGACCGGCCACAUUGGGACUGAGAUACGGCCCAGACUCCUACGGGAGGCAGCAGUGGGGAAUAUUGCACAAUGGGCGGAAGCCUGAUGCAGCAACGCCGCGUGCGGGAUGACGGCCUUCGGGUUGUAAACCGCUUUCGCCUGUGACGAAGCGUGAGUGACGGUAAUGGGUAAAGAAGCACCGGCUAAUUACGUG